GAGUAAUACGCAUAGCCCUUCGGGGAAAGAGUUAUCGGAGAAGGAUCGGCCCGCGUUAGAUUAGAUAGUUGUGGGUAACGGCCGUACCAAGUCUACGAUCUAUAGCUGGUUUUAGAGGAUGAUCAGCAACACUGGGACUGAGACACGGCCCAGACUCCUACGGGAGGCAGCAGUGGGGAAUCUUAGACAAUGGGCGCAAGCCUGAUCUAGCCAUGCCGCGUGUGUGAUGAAGGUCUUAGGAUCGUAAAGCACUUUCGCCAGGGAUGAUAAUGACAGUACCUGGUAAAGAAACCCCCGGCUAACUCCGUG
This 309-nucleotide ribosomal RNA is filed under the name uncultured bacterium. RNAcentral's name for it is "bacterial SSU rRNA". It matches the Rfam family "Bacterial small subunit ribosomal RNA", at positions 161 to 507 of the family's 1533-position model. The record is from RNAcentral.